RNAcentral lists this ribosomal RNA (245 nucleotides) under uncultured bacterium. RNAcentral's name for it is "partial small subunit ribosomal RNA". It matches the Rfam family "Bacterial small subunit ribosomal RNA", at positions 26 to 285 of the family's 1533-position model. The record is from RNAcentral.
AGAAUCAACGCUGGCGGCGUGCCUAACACAUGCAAGUCGAACGAGAAAGUGGAGCAAUCCAUGAGUAAAGUGGCGACCGGGUGAGUAACACGUGACUAACCUACCUUCGAGUGGGGGAUAACCUCGGGAAAUCUGGGCUAAUACCGCAUAAUACCUUCGGGUCAAAGGAGCAAUUCGCUUAAGGAGGGGGUCGCGGCCGAUUAGUUAGUUGACGGGGUAAUGGCCCACCAAGACUAUGAUCUGUA